This 492-nucleotide ribosomal RNA is filed under the name uncultured bacterium. RNAcentral describes it as "partial 16S ribosomal RNA". It matches the Rfam family "Bacterial small subunit ribosomal RNA", at positions 29 to 507 of the family's 1533-position model. The record is from RNAcentral.
AGUGAACGCUGGCGGUAGGCCUAACACAUGCAAGUCGAACGGCAGCACAGUAAGAGCUCGCUCUUACGGGUGGCGAGUGGCGGGUGGGUGAGGCGUACAUAGCAAUCUACUUUUUCGUGGGGGAUAACGUGGGGAAACAUACGCUACUACCGCAUACGACGUACGGGUGAAAGCAGGGGAUCUUCGGACCUUGCCUGACUCAAUGAGCCGAUGUCGGAUUAGCUAGUUGGUGGGGUAAAGGCCCACCAAGGCGACGAUCCGUAGCUGGUCUGAGAGGAUGAUCAGCCACACUGGAACUGAGACACGGUCCAGACUCCUACGGGAGGCAGCAGUGGGGAAUAUUGGACAAUGGGCGCAAGCCUGAUCCAGCCAUACCGCGUGGGUGAAGAAGGCCUUCGGGUUGUAAAGCCCUUUUGUUUGGGAAGAAAAGCAGCAGGUGAAUACCCCGCUGUUCUGACGGUACCCAAAGAAUAAGCACCGGCUAACUUCGUG